GGAGUUAGCCGGUGCUUCUUCUGUGAGUGAUGUCCUUCCUGCCGGCUAUUAACCCGCAGGCCUUCUUCCUCACUGAAAGUGCUUUACAACCCGAAGGCCUUCUUCACACACGCGGCAUGGCUGGAUCAGGGUUGCCCCCAUUGUCCAAUAUUCCCCACUGCUGCCUCCCGUAGGAGUCUGGGCCGUGUCUCAGUCCCAGUGUGGCUGAUCAUCCUCUCAGACCAGCUACGGAUCGUCGCCUUGGUGAGCCGUUACCUCACCAACCAGCUAAUCCGACAUAGGCUCAUCCGAUAGCGCGAGGCCCGAAGGUCCCCCGCUUUCCCCCGUAGGGCGUAUGCGGUAUUAGCCUGGGUUUCCCCAGGUUAUCCCCCACUACCGGGCAGAUUCCUAUGCAUUACUCACCCGUCCGCCGCUCGCCACCAGGGAGCAAGCUCCCCGUGCUGCCGCUCGACUUGCAUGUGUUAGGCCUGCCGCCAGCGUUCAAUCUGAGCCAGUGAUACAAACUCUGA
RNAcentral lists this ribosomal RNA (509 nucleotides) under uncultured bacterium. Its description in RNAcentral is "partial 16S ribosomal RNA". The record is from RNAcentral.